GCAAGUCGAACGCGAACGAGUUCUUCGGAAAACGAGUAGAGUGGCGCACGGGUGAGUAACGCGUAAGUAAUCUACCCUGGCAUCUGGGAUAACCCACCGAAAGGUGUGCUAAUACCGGAUACGUUGAUUUAUCAAGAAAGGUGGCCUCUGAUUUAAGCUACCGUGCCGGGAGGAGCUUGCGUACCAUUAGCUAGUUGGUAGGGUAAUGGCCUACCAAGGCGACGAUGGUUAGCGGGUCUGAGAGGAUGAUC
Molecule: ribosomal RNA, 251 nt
Filed under: uncultured bacterium
Lineage: Bacteria
Description: partial 16S ribosomal RNA
Rfam family: Bacterial small subunit ribosomal RNA
Source: RNAcentral